ACAGGGGGAUAACAGUUGGAAACGGCUGCUAAUACCGCAUAAGCGCACAGCAUCGCAUGAUGCAGUGUGAAAAACUCCGGUGGUAUAAGAUGGACCCGCGUUGGAUUAGCUAGUUGGUGAGGUAACGGCCCACCAAGGCGACGAUCCAUAGCCGACCUGAGAGGGUGACCGGCCACAUUGGGACUGAGACACGGCCCAAACUCCUACGGGAGGCAGCAGUGGGGAAUAUUGCACAAUGGGCGAAAGCCUGAUGCAGCGACGCCGCGUGAGCGAAGAAGUAUUUCGGUAUGUAAAGCUCUAUCAGCGGGGAAGAUAAUGACGGUACCUGACUAAGAAGCACCGGCUAAAUACGUGCCAGCAGCCGCGGUAAUACGUAUGGUGCAAGCGUUAUCCGGAUUUACUGGGUGUAAAGGGAGCGCAGGCGGUGCGGCAAGUCUGAUGUGAAAGCCCGGGGCUCAACCCCGGUACUGCAUUGGAAACUGUCGUACUAGAGUGUCGGAGGGGUAAGCGGAAUUCCUAGUGUAGCGGUGAAAUGCGUAGAUAUUAGGAGGAACACCAGUGGCGAAGGCGGCUUACUGGACGAUAACUGACGCUGAGGCUCGAAAGCGUGGGGAGCAAACAGGAUUAGAUACCCUGGUAGUCCACGCCGUAAACGA
Molecule: ribosomal RNA, 656 nt
Filed under: uncultured bacterium
Lineage: Bacteria
Description: bacterial SSU rRNA
Rfam family: Bacterial small subunit ribosomal RNA
Source: RNAcentral